RNAcentral lists this ribosomal RNA (649 nucleotides) under uncultured bacterium. RNAcentral describes it as "bacterial SSU rRNA". It matches the Rfam family "Bacterial small subunit ribosomal RNA", at positions 62 to 693 of the family's 1533-position model. The record is from RNAcentral.
UCGAGGGGCAGCGGGGGCGAAAGCUUGCUUUCGCCUGCCGGCGACCGGCGCACGGGUGAGUAACACGUAUGGAACCUGCCCUAUGCAGGGGGAUAAGCGGAAGAAAUUCCGUCUAAUACCGCAUAACACCAUUUGGAGACAUCUCCAGGGGGUCAAAGGAGGCGACUCCGGCAUAGGAUGGCCAUGCGUCGCAUUAGCUAGUCGGCGGGGUAACGGCCCACCGAGGCGACGAUGCGUAGGGGUUCUGAGAGGAAGGUCCCCCACACUGGUACUGAGACACGGACCAGACUCCUACGGGAGGCAGCAGUGAGGAAUAUUGGUCAAUGGGCGCAAGCCUGAACCAGCCAAGUCGCGUGAGGGAAGACGGUCCUAUGGAUUGUAAACCUCUUUUGUCGGGGAGCAAAGCGCGGGUACGAGUGCCGUGAAAGACAGUACCCGAAGAAAAAGCAUCGGCUAACUCCGUGCCAGCAGCCGCGGUAAUACGGAGGAUGCGAGCGUUAUCCGGAUUUAUUGGGUUUAAAGGGUGCGUAGGCGGAUUUGUAAGUCAGCGGUAAAAAUGCGGUGCUCAACGCCGUAUCGCCGUUGAAACUGCAGGUCUUGAGUGAGCGGGAAGUAUGCGGAAUGCGUGGUGUAGCGGUGAAAUGCAUAG